AUGAUGUGUCCUGAAAUAGAAGUAGAGCCACCAGCGCCUAACGUUGCCAAUGAAUUUAAUCCAAAUGCAAUUGAGCGCGAUCCGGGAAAGAGGAAACAAAUUUGUGAGUACAUCUCCUUGAUUGUGACUACAACAACAACAUCUUGCAAGAGAAGGGAUGCAUUGACCGAGUCACAACACCAAGAUAUUCUGGAUAGACUUGAGAGUGGUGAGAUAUCUACUGGAAGGGGCUUGCACCAAUCAUCUACUCUUGCUAGACCGGGGGAUACUAGAUGGGGUGCCUAG
RNAcentral lists this ribosomal RNA (285 nucleotides) under Triticum aestivum (bread wheat). Its description in RNAcentral is "partial small subunit ribosomal RNA". The record is from RNAcentral. Lineage: Eukaryota; Viridiplantae; Streptophyta; Magnoliopsida; Poales; Poaceae.